RNAcentral lists this ribosomal RNA (534 nucleotides) under Alternaria porri. RNAcentral describes it as "eukaryotic LSU rRNA". The stretch from base 161 to 314 matches the Rfam family "5.8S ribosomal RNA". Lineage: Eukaryota; Fungi; Ascomycota; Dothideomycetes; Pleosporales; Pleosporaceae. The record is from RNAcentral.
AUAUGAAGGCGGGCUGGAAUCUCUCGGGGUUACAGCCUUGCUGAAUUAUUCACCCUUGUCUUUUGCGUACUUCUUGUUUCCUUGGUGGGUUCGCCCACCACUAGGACAAACAUAAACCUUUUGUAAUUGCAAUCAGCGUCAGUAACAAAUUAAUAAUUACAACUUUCAACAACGGAUCUCUUGGUUCUGGCAUCGAUGAAGAACGCAGCGAAAUGCGAUAAGUAGUGUGAAUUGCAGAAUUCAGUGAAUCAUCGAAUCUUUGAACGCACAUUGCGCCCUUUGGUAUUCCAAAGGGCAUGCCUGUUCGAGCGUCAUUUGUACCCUCAAGCUUUGCUUGGUGUUGGGCGUCUUGUCUCUAGCUUUGCUGGAGACUCGCCUUAAAGUAAUUGGCAGCCGGCCUACUGGUUUCGGAGCGCAGCACAAGUCGCACUCUCUAUCAGCAAAGGUCUAGCAUCCAUUAAGCCUUUUUUCAACUUUUGACCUCGGAUCAGGUAGGGAUACCCGCUGAACUUAAGCAUAUCAAUAAGCGGAGGA